This 977-nucleotide long non-coding RNA is filed under the name Panax ginseng (ginseng). RNAcentral describes it as "long non-coding RNA (PGIN_LNC004813)". The record is from RNAcentral. Lineage: Eukaryota; Viridiplantae; Streptophyta; Magnoliopsida; Apiales; Araliaceae.
UGAAAUUUGAGACAAUAGCUUUUAGUGAACCAUAUAUAAAUUCUCACUUGGGAAAAGCUCUUCAACAUGUUCAAUCACAAUUACAAUUAACGUGCAAAUUAGAAAAUGAUUCAACUUCAAACUAGCAUUAUACACAGUAACGUACACUAUAUACUUCAAGAACAAUAUACUUGUACCAACUGACAAACAUAACAAGUAUCAAACCUCAGUUCCGACUGUACACAAAAAUGAAGGAUCAGCAAGCAGUCUGUUUCGAAGUAUCGUACAGUAAUUCAUCAAGAAACUUAAUGGCCAAACUGACCCCUGCAGCACAACCUUAUUUAUUUUUCUAAAAUAAAUUUAAAAUUAAAAGCUGCAAUCAAACAAUCUCAAGCUUGGUACAAAACCAAGGUUAACAGUACUGCUUAACAGAAUAGCUUAGUCAUAAAUAACAAGUCCUGAAAAUAAUUGAAACCAAGAAAAACCAAGAUUACUAGUACUUUUUUCCCCAAUUCGAUUUCACAGCUUCAAUUGCGAAUAACCCCAAUUCGAUUUCACAAUGAAAUUGCAGGAAUUUUUUUUGCCCCAAUCAGAUUAUCAUCAUGGGUCAGGAUUAUCAUAGCCGAAAGAGUUUAGAGAACCUGCAGAAGUGGAGAGCUAGACGAUUAGCCGAACGAGUUUAGAGAAUCGCAGCAGGGGAGGGUUUGGUUUUCGAAAUCGCAUGAGGAAGGGUUUGGUUUAGGGAAUCGUCGCAGGCAUCGAGGGUCUAGUUGAACGAUCGGAGCAGGAGGGAAGGUUUUGAGAGAUGGAAUCGUCUAGUUGAACGAUCGGAGCAGGAGGGAAGGUUUUGAGCGAUGGAAUCGAGGGUCUAGUUGAACGAAGGUUCAAUUUAGGGUGAAAAUUAUUUUUCUAUCAUACGACUAGACCGUCUGGCGUAUGUGUUUUAUAAUUUUUUAGCUUACGCUACAUCGUCUGGCGUAAGGCUUGUUUUAUUUUUU